AAAUAAGAAGCAUAAAGCAAUUAGUUUCGGCCUAAUCCAAUGGUAAUUAUAUCAUUACCCUUAUUUA
Molecule: transfer RNA, 67 nt
Filed under: Perisphaerus sp. 3 ZQW-2023b
Lineage: Eukaryota; Metazoa; Arthropoda; Insecta; Blattodea; Blaberidae
Description: tRNA-Arg
Source: RNAcentral